This 103-nucleotide microRNA precursor is filed under the name Marmota monax (woodchuck). The record is from RNAcentral. Lineage: Eukaryota; Metazoa; Chordata; Mammalia; Rodentia; Sciuridae.
AGUGGGAUAACUGGGUCAAAUGGUGGUUCCAUUACAAGUUGUCUAAGGAAUAGCUAUACUGCUUUCCACAGUGGUUGUACCAAUUUGCAGUUCCACCAGCAAU